RNAcentral lists this transfer RNA (59 nucleotides) under Paecilomyces variotii. RNAcentral's name for it is "tRNA-Ile". Lineage: Eukaryota; Fungi; Ascomycota; Eurotiomycetes; Eurotiales; Thermoascaceae. The record is from RNAcentral.
AAUAGUCAUAUUUAUAAAGCAUUAUUAUAUCAUUAAGAAUGAUAAUUCGAGUUUCUCUC